GUAUAUGUGGCAACCCAGAUACUAAAAUUGAAAGGGUACAGAGAAGAUUAGCAUGGCCUUUGUGCAAGGAUGGUAUGCAAAUUUAUGAAGCAUUUCAUAUUUUG
Molecule: small nuclear RNA, 104 nt
Organism: Perognathus longimembris pacificus (Pacific pocket mouse)
Lineage: Eukaryota; Metazoa; Chordata; Mammalia; Rodentia; Heteromyidae
Source: RefSeq, a predicted model, not a curated record